GUGUCUCUCAAGUAUGUUGUAAUUUAUUUGUGAGUUAUUCUCAAGCAAUGUUACAAAACAUUUUAAUGUCUUGAUAAGAAAAUAAAAUUUAAAUAAAAAUACAUUCAACAAUACAUCAUAAUACAAAUUAAAACUAAUGAUAAUUUACAAUCCUAACAGAACUAAUUACUGAUUAACAUCAUCUUUCUAGACUAAUCAAAAUGAAGGCAACUUUUAUUAUUAAUAUCCUACUCGUACCUAAUUAAAUUCUAGAACAUCUACUGCAUUUUAAAACAUUAUAAAAUGAGAAAUCAAAUCUUAAUGGUCACAGAUAUUUAAUGGCCUUUGUUUUUUUCCUAGAUAUUCCCGUACCAAAGCAAAAAAAAAAAAAGUGCAUAUUUAAAAAAAAAAAUUGUUUCAAGAGCAUACAAUUUAAUUUUUUGUAAAUUUGACUUUGAAAACAACAGAAAAUGGCUCCAAGGAACAGAUACUUUGCCACAGGGUUUAUCUAUAUACAGCAAAACCUAACUUUGACACUCAGUCACAUUCAUCUUUGUUUAAUGGCAGCUUUUUGUUAAUGGAGCGUUUUAUGAAUGACAAUCAGACCCACUCUACCUUGGCAAAACACAUUUCUUGGCAUUACUAUGUUCCCUUCCCUCCCACCCCCCAAUUUCAACUGUUGGCAAAUAAGAGUCCCUUAGAAUACAUCAAAUGUGUAAAAAAGGAAAAGGCAAAAAUGGUGGACAUGAAUAAAUGAUUGUGACGUUGCACAUACUAGUACAGAAUCGUGGAUAUUCUAAAACGGUUUGUCUGGUAUUAAACCAAAAUAGUUAUCCUAAUCAGUUACAUUCAUUCCAAAAGAUAUUUAAAUCCUGUCUUGCUAACUUGCUCCUAUUACAGAAAGACUCCCUAGAACAGUAUAAUAGAUGUAUAGUAAUUUAAACAGCUUACAGUUUCAAGCAUUGUGGAUUUCUAUUCUAUUUGUAAGUUACAUUCCUAAUUAAUUUGGCCAAAUCAUGAUUGUAAAAGAACAAUAAAACCCCCAAAACACACCCAACAACAAAAGACCCCACAGCAAAUGCUCCAAAAAUAAACGUACCACAUACAGUUAUUAUUAAAAAUAAUAUUCCGAGGAGUACCACUGUAUUUAAUACUGAUGAAGCAAAGUUGC
This 1150-nucleotide long non-coding RNA is filed under the name Strigops habroptila (Kakapo). RNAcentral's name for it is "lncRNA (ENSSHBG00005019069.1)". The record is from RNAcentral. Lineage: Eukaryota; Metazoa; Chordata; Aves; Psittaciformes; Psittacidae.